RNAcentral lists this ribosomal RNA (450 nucleotides) under uncultured bacterium. Its description in RNAcentral is "partial 16S ribosomal RNA". It matches the Rfam family "Bacterial small subunit ribosomal RNA", at positions 354 to 796 of the family's 1533-position model. The record is from RNAcentral.
GUGGGGAAUUUUGGACAAUGGGCGCAAGCCUGAUCCAGCAAUGCCGCGUGCAGGAAGAAGGCCUUCGGGUUGUAAACUGCUUUUGUACGGAACGAAAAGGCUCUGGUUAAUACCUGGGGCUCAUGACGGUAGCGUAAGAAUAAGCACCGGCUAACUACGUGCCAGCAGCCGCGGUAAUACGUAGGGUGCAAGCGUUAAUCGGAAUUACUGGGCGUAAAGCGUGCGCAGGCGGUUUUGUAAGACAGACGUGAAAUCCCCGGGCUCAACCUGGGAAUGGCGCUUGUGACUGCAAAGCUGGAGUGCGGCAGAGGGGGAUGGAAUUCCGCGUGUAGCAGUGAAAUGCGUAGAUAUGCGGAGGAACACCGAUGGCGAAGGCAAUCCCCUGGGCCUGCACUGACGCUCAUGCACGAAAGCGUGGGGAGCAAACAGGAUUAGAUACCCCAGUAGUCC